RNAcentral lists this ribosomal RNA (497 nucleotides) under uncultured bacterium. Its description in RNAcentral is "partial 16S ribosomal RNA". It matches the Rfam family "Bacterial small subunit ribosomal RNA", at positions 28 to 507 of the family's 1533-position model. The record is from RNAcentral.
GAUGAACGCUGGCGGCGUGCCUAAUACAUGCAAGUCGAGCGAACAGACGAGGAGCUUGCUCCUCUGACGUUAGCGGCGGACGGGUGAGUAACACGUGGAUAACCUACCUAUAAGACUGGGAUAACUUCGUGAAACCGGAGCUAAUACCGGAUAAUAUAUUGAACCGCAUGGUUCAAUAGUGAAAGACGGUUUUGCUGUCACUUAUAGAUGGAUCCGCUCCGCAUUAGCUAGUUGGUAAGGUAACUGCUUACCAAGGCGACGAUGCGUAGCCGACCUGAGAGGGUGAUAGGCCACACUGAAACUGAGACACGGUCCAGACUCCUACGGGAGGCAGCAGUAGGGAAUCUUCAGCCAUGGGCGAAAGCCUGACGGAGCAACGCAGCGUGAGUGAUGAAGGUCUUCGGAUCGUAAAACUCUGUUAUUAGGGAAGAACAAAUGUGUAAGUAACUAUGCACGUCUUGACGGUACCUAAUCAGAAAGCCACGGCUAACUACGUG